This 463-nucleotide ribosomal RNA is filed under the name uncultured bacterium. RNAcentral's name for it is "bacterial SSU rRNA". It matches the Rfam family "Bacterial small subunit ribosomal RNA", at positions 330 to 792 of the family's 1533-position model. The record is from RNAcentral.
UCCAGACUCCUACGGGAGGCAGCAGUGGGGAAUAUUGCACAAUGGGGGAAACCCUGAUGCAGCGACGCCGCGUGAGUGAAGAAGCGUUUCGGCGCGUAAAGCUCUGUCAGCGGGGAAGAAACACGGUUCGCGAGAGCCGCGGACGGUACCCGACCAAGAAGCCCCGGCUAACUACGUGCCAGCAGCCGCGGUAAUACGUAGGGGGCAAGCGUUAUCCGGAUUCACUGGGUGUAAAGGGAGCGUAGACGGCGAGACAAGUCUGGAGUGAAAGGCCGGGGCCCAACCCCGGGACUGCUCUGGAAACUGCCUGGCUGGAGUACAGGAGAGGUAAGUGGAAUUCCUAGUGUAGCGGUGAAAUGCGUAGAUAUUAGGAGGAACACCAGUGGCGAAGGCGGCUUACUGGACUGUAACUGACGUUGAGGCUCGAAAGCGUGGGGAGCAAACAGGAUUAGAUACCCCGGUA